CGCAGCCGCGGUAAUUCCAGCUCCAAUAGCGUAUAUUAAAGUUGUUGCAGUUAAAAAGCUCGUAGUUGAAUUUCGGGAUCAAUACGUCGGUCGUGCUUCGGUACGUACUGGCGUAAUUGAUUUCUCCCUUCUGACGAACCAUGAUGUCAUUAACUUGGUGUCAUGGGAAAUCAGGACUGUUACUUUGAAAAAAUUAGAGUGUUUAAAGCAGGCUCACGCUUGAAUACAUUAGCAUGGAAUAAUGAAAUAGGACGUUCGAUCCUAUUUUGUUGGUUUUUAGGAUCAACGUAAUGAUUAAUAGGGAUAGUUGGGGGCAUUAGUAUUCAAUUGUCAGAGGUGAAAUUCUUGGAUUUAUUGAAGACUAACUACUGCGAAAGCAUUUGCCAAGGAUGUUUUCAUUAAUCAAGAACGAAAGUUAGGGGAUCGAAGACGAUCAGAUACCGUCGUAGUCUUAACCAUAAACUAUGCCGACUAGGGAUCGGAUGAUGUUAAUUUUUAAUGACUCAUUCGGCGCCUUACG
Molecule: ribosomal RNA, 520 nt
Filed under: uncultured Glomus
Lineage: Eukaryota; Fungi; Glomeromycota; Glomeromycetes; Glomerales; Glomeraceae
Description: SSU rRNA
Rfam family: Eukaryotic small subunit ribosomal RNA
Source: RNAcentral